Molecule: non-coding RNA, 204 nt
Organism: Oryza glaberrima (African rice)
Lineage: Eukaryota; Viridiplantae; Streptophyta; Magnoliopsida; Poales; Poaceae
Source: Rfam
UUUAAGUGCAACUAUGAGUUUCCGUGCCCAACUUUGAUCGUCCGUCUUAUUUAAAAAAAUUUUAUAAUUAGUAUUUUUAUUGUUAUGAGAUGAUAAAAGCAUGAAUAAUACUUCAUGUAUGACUUAUGUUUUAAUUUUUUAAAAAAUAUUUCAAAUAAGAAAGACGAUCAAAGUUUAGCAUGAAAAAUCAUGGCUGCACUUAAA